CUUCAGUGUGAAUUAAAUAAGCUGAAAACAAGCCCAGAGCUCAGUCUUGCUUCUACUAGCAACUACGGUUUCUCGGGGAAGGCUGCUCAGCCCGCCAAGUCCACAGCAGUCACAACCGUGGUGUUCUCGAUUAUAUUUUGCAGAGUGACCUCUCCGCGCUUGCUUUCUGGAGGGUGACCGCUCACCUCCCCUUCCUCCUGGAGCCCUGAUGUCGGAGGCCCUGAGCCAUGGACGGUAUCUGAGGAUGGGUUUAGCAUAUAUGGCCGGAGAAAUUGGCAACAUUUGCUACGAAUAAAACCCCGGCGUUUCCAGCA
Molecule: long non-coding RNA, 314 nt
Organism: Cebus imitator (Panamanian white-faced capuchin)
Lineage: Eukaryota; Metazoa; Chordata; Mammalia; Primates; Cebidae
Exons: 2
Source: RefSeq, a predicted model, not a curated record